UACGUAGGGUGCAAGCGUUAAUCGGAAUUACUGGGCGUAAAGCGUGCGCAGGCGGUUCUAUAAGACAGAUGUGAAAUCCCCGGGCUCAACCUGGGAACUGCAUUUGUGACUGUAGAGCUGGAGUACGGCAGAGGGGGAUGGAAUUCCGCGUGUAGCAGUGAAAUGCGUAGAGAUGUGGAGGAAUACCGAUGGCGAAGGCAGCCCCCUGGGCCAAUACUGACGCUCAUGCACGAAAGCGUGGGGAGCAAACAGG
RNAcentral lists this ribosomal RNA (253 nucleotides) under uncultured bacterium. Its description in RNAcentral is "partial 16S ribosomal RNA". It matches the Rfam family "Bacterial small subunit ribosomal RNA", at positions 524 to 776 of the family's 1533-position model. The record is from RNAcentral.